Molecule: ribosomal RNA, 601 nt
Filed under: uncultured fungus
Lineage: Eukaryota; Fungi
Description: eukaryotic LSU rRNA
Rfam family: Eukaryotic large subunit ribosomal RNA
Source: RNAcentral
ACCCGCUGAACUUAAGCAUAUCAAUAAGCGGAGGAAAAGAAACCAACAGGGAUUGCCCUAGUAACGGCGAGUGAAGCGGCAACAGCUCAAAUUUGAAAUCCGGCGUCUUUGGCGUCCGAGUUGUAAUUUGCAGAGGGCGCUUUGGCAUUGGCAGCGGUCCAAGUUCCUUGGAACAGGACGUCACAGAGGGUGAGAAUCCCGUACGUGGUCGCUAGCCUUUACCGUGUAAAGCCCCUUCGACGAGUCGAGUUGUUUGGGAAUGCAGCUCUAAAUGGGAGGUAAAUUUCUUCUAAAGCUAAAUACUGGCCAGAGACCGAUAGCGCACAAGUAGAGUGAUCGAAAGAUGAAAAGCACUUUGGAAAGAGAGUUAAAAAGCACGUGAAAUUGUUGAAAGGGAAGCGUUUGCGACCAGACCUUUUCCUGGCGGAUCAUCCGGCGUUCUCGCCGGUGCACUUCGCCAGGUCGAGGCCAGCAUCGGUUUUCGCAGGGGGACAAAAUCGGGGGGAACGUAGCUCCCUCGGGAGUGUUAUAGCCCCCCGCAUAAUGCCCUUGCGGGGACCGAGGACCGCGCUUUUUGCAAGGAUGCUGGCGUAAUGGUCGU